RNAcentral lists this ribosomal RNA (496 nucleotides) under uncultured bacterium. RNAcentral describes it as "partial 16S ribosomal RNA". It matches the Rfam family "Bacterial small subunit ribosomal RNA", at positions 29 to 507 of the family's 1533-position model. The record is from RNAcentral.
AUGAACGCUGGCGGCGUGCCUAAUACAUGCAAGUCGAGCGAACAGACGAGGAGCUUGCUCCUCUGACGUUAGCGGCGGACGGGUGAGUAACACUUGGAUAACCUACCUAUAAGACUGGGAUAACUUCGGGAAACCGGAUCUAAUACCGGAUAAUAUAUUGAACCGCAUGGUUCAAUAGUGAAAGACGGUUUUGCUGUCACUUAUAGAUGGAUCCGCGCCGCAUUAGCUAGUUGGUAAGGUAACGGCUUACCAAGGCAACGAUGCGUAGCCGACCUGAGAGGGGGAUCGGCCACACUGGAACUGAGACACGGUCCAGAUUCCUACGGGAGGCAGCAGUAGGGAAUCUUCCGCAAUGGGCGAAAGCCUGACGGAGCAACGCCGCGUGAGUGAUGAAGGUCUUCGGAUCGUAAAACUCUGUUAUUAGGGAAGAACAAAUGUGUAAGUAACUAUGCACGUCUUGACGGUACCUAAUCAGAAAGCCACGGCUAACUACGUG